RNAcentral lists this unclassified non-coding RNA (200 nucleotides) under soil metagenome. RNAcentral's name for it is "partial contains internal transcribed spacer 2 and large subunit ribosomal RNA". The record is from RNAcentral.
CCUGUUCGAGCGUCAUUACAACCCUCAAGCUUUGCUUGGUAUUGGGCAUCACUAUCCUAGGUGUGUCUCAAAGUCAUUGGCGGUGCCACUUGGCUUCUAGCGUAGUAAUACUUUUCGCUAUGGAGUCUAGGUGAGUGCUUGCCACAACCCCUAAUUUCAAGAUUGACCUCGGAUCAGGUAGGGAUACCCGCUGAACUUAA